UGGAUCCAGACUUUGAUCAUGGCUCAGGAUGAACGCUAGCUACAGGCUUAACACAUGCAAGUCGAGGGGCAGCGGGAUUGAAGCUUGCUUCAAUUGCCGGCGACCGGCGCACGGGUGAGUAACGCGUAUCCAACCUUCCGUACACUCAGGGAUAGCCUUUCGAAAGAAAGAUUAAUACCUGAUGGUAUGAUGAGAUUGCAUAAUAGCAUCAUUAAAGAUUUAUCGGUGUACGAUGGGGAUGCGUUCCAUUAGGUAGUAGGCGGGGUAACGGCCCACCUAGCCAACGAUGGAUAGGGGUUCUGAGAGGAAGGUCCCCCACAUUGGAACUGAGACACGGUCCAAACUCCUACGGGAGGCAGCAGUGAGGAAUAUUGGUCAAUGGACGAGAGUCUGAACCAGCCAAGUAGCGUGAAGGAUGAAGGUCCUACGGAUUGUAAACUUCUUUUAUAAGGGAAUAAACCCUCCCACGUGUGGGAGCUUGUAUGUACCUUAUGAAUAAGCAUCGGCUAACUCCGUGCCAGCAGCCGCGGUAAUACGGAGGAUGCGAGCGUUAUCCGGAUUUAUUGGGUUUAAAGGGAGCGCAGACGGGUCGUUAAGUCAGCUGUGAAAGUUUGGGGCUCAACCUUAAAAUUGCAGUUGAUACUGGCGUCCUUGAGUGCGGUUGAGGUGUGCGGAAUUCGUGGUGUAGCGGUGAAAUGCUUAGAUAUCACGAAGAACUCCGAUUGCGAAGGCAGCACACUAAUCCGUAACUGACGUUCAUGCUCGAAAGUGUGGGUAUCAAACAGGAUUAGAUACCCUGGUAGUCCACACGGUAAACGAUGGAUACUCGCUGUUGGCGAUAUACUGUCAGCGGCUUAGCGAAAGCGUUAAGUAUCCCACCUGGGGAGUACGCCGGCAACGGUGCAACUCAAA
This 912-nucleotide ribosomal RNA is filed under the name uncultured bacterium. RNAcentral's name for it is "bacterial SSU rRNA". It matches the Rfam family "Bacterial small subunit ribosomal RNA", at positions 1 to 905 of the family's 1533-position model. The record is from RNAcentral. RNAcentral also lists the same sequence under 1 other name.